GUCUGGAGCUGGCAUGUCAGUUAACUGCUAGUAGUCUGUUGUUAUUUAUGUAUUAUUGUCAUUUUGUUUAUUUUCUUUGGUUACAUCUUCUGACAUCAGACUCGGAUUUCUCUUGAACUGAAUUUUAAUGUGCGUAUUGUUAUGCGUUUACUUUACUACAUUGGUUAGAGGUAUAGAGGGAGGGUUGAGAUCUCACAAACAUGUUUAACCCCGCCGCAUUUUUGCGCCUGUCCCAAGUCAGGAGCCUCUGGCCUUUGUUAGUCUUGUAUUAUUUUAAUUUUAGUUUCUUGUGUACAAUUUGGAAAUUAGUAUGGCGUUCAUUAUCACUGGACUAGUAUAUAUUUGUUUAGGGGCCAGCUGAAGGACGCUUCCGGG
This 375-nucleotide long non-coding RNA is filed under the name Mytilus galloprovincialis (Mediterranean mussel). The record is from RNAcentral. Lineage: Eukaryota; Metazoa; Mollusca; Bivalvia; Mytilida; Mytilidae.